Molecule: ribosomal RNA, 995 nt
Filed under: uncultured bacterium
Lineage: Bacteria
Description: bacterial SSU rRNA
Rfam family: Bacterial small subunit ribosomal RNA
Source: RNAcentral
GGGGAAUAUUGUACAAUGGGGGAAACCCUGAUGCAGCGACGCCGCGUGGAGGAAGAAGGUCUUCGGAUUGUAAACUCCUGUUGUUGAGGAAGAUAAUGACGGUACUCAACAAGGAAGUGACGGCUAACUACGUGCCAGCAGCCGCGGUAAAACGUAGGUCACAAGCGUUGUCCGGAAUUACUGGGUGUAAAGGGAGCGCAGGCGGGAAGACAAGUUGGAAGUGAAAUCUAUGGGCUCAACCCAUAAACUGCUUUCAAAACUGUUUUUCUUGAGUAGUGCAGAGGUAGGCGGAAUUCCCGGUGUAGCGGUGGAAUGCGUAGAUAUCGGGAGGAACACCAGUGGCGAAGGCGGCCUACUGGGCACCAACUGACGCUGAGGCUCGAAAGUGUGGGUAGCAAACAGGAUUAGAUACCCUGGUAGUCCACACCGUAAACGAUGAUUACUAGGUGUUGGAGGAUUGACCCCUUCAGUGCCGCAGUUAACACAAUAAGUAAUCCACCUGGGGAGUACGACCGCAAGGUUGAAACUCAAAGGAAUUGACGGGGGCCCGCACAAGCAGUGGAGUAUGUGGUUUAAUUCGACGCAACGCGAAGAACCUUACCAAGUCUUGACAUCCUGCGACGAUGCUGGAAACAGUAUUUUCCUUCGGGACGCAGAGACAGGUGGUGCAUGGUUGUCGUCAGCUCGUGUCGUGAGAUGUUGGGUUAAGUCCCGCAACGAGCGCAACCCUUAUGGUCAGUUACUACGCAAGAGGACUCUGGCCAGACUGCCGUUGACAAAACGGAGGAAGGUGGGGAUGACGUCAAAUCAUCAUGCCCUUUAUGACUUGGGCUACACACGUACUACAAUGGCGUUAAACAAAGAGAAGCAAGACCGCGAGGUGGAGCAAAACUCAGAAACAACGUCCCAGUUCGGACUGCAGGCUGCAACUCGCCUGCACGAAGUCGGAAUUGCUAGUAAUCGUGGAUCAGCAUGCCACGGUGAAUACGUUCCCG